UUUAAAGGGCCGCAGUAUUUUGACUGUGCAAAGGUAGCAUAAUAAUUAGUCUUUUAAUUGAAGGCUGGUAUGAAUGGUUGGAUGAGGUGAAUUCUGUUUUAUGUUAAUUUUUAUUGAAUUUAGAUUUUAAGUAAAAAGACUUAAAUUUUGUUAAGGGACGAGAAGACCCUAUAGAGUUUAAUAAAUGUAGUAAUUAAUUGAGUUAAAUUUUAAUUUUUGAUUAUUAUGAAAGUUAUUUAAUUGGGGUGAUUAGGAGAUAAGAUUAACUCUUCUUUAUAUUUAAUAUAAUAAUUAGUUAUAUGAUCCAUAUUUAAUGAUUAAAAGAUUAAAUUACCUUAGGGAUAACAGCAUAAUUCUUUUUGAGAGUUCAUAUCGAAAGAAGAGAUUGUGACCUCGAUGUUGGAUUAAGAUUAAUUUUGGGUGCAG
Molecule: ribosomal RNA, 426 nt
Filed under: Sphodromantis viridis
Lineage: Eukaryota; Metazoa; Arthropoda; Insecta; Mantodea; Mantidae
Description: partial 16S ribosomal RNA
Rfam family: Bacterial large subunit ribosomal RNA
Source: RNAcentral